Molecule: long non-coding RNA, 1260 nt
Filed under: Phocoena sinus (vaquita)
Lineage: Eukaryota; Metazoa; Chordata; Mammalia; Artiodactyla; Phocoenidae
Description: lncRNA (ENSPSNG00000002078.1)
Source: RNAcentral
GAAAACCCCACAACAAAACCCUCAUCUCAGAAACAUCCUGAAUACUCAAUGUUUAGGUGCAAAAAUAUUAAAAGAUUAAUAACAUGAGUCACUUAAUGGUUUAAGUUCUCUUAUUGGACCAGUCUAGAUGGAAGACAGACAGUAGUAAGCUGAAAGUAAAAAUUUCAAUUGCUUUCUUACUAGUCUACUAAAAGUAUCUUUUAAGCACAGGGUAUAUAUGAAUUUUGUAGACUUUUGCAUUUUCACAAUUUUAGCAAAUUCCAGUCUGUGUCUCUGACAGUUUUUUUAUAGAUUUGUCCUACUUUUUUGUGCAUUUUAUGCAUAUCCUUUAAAAACAUAUACUCAAAAUAGAGCUCCUAAUUAAUAUACAACAUGAGUUUCUUCACAUACUUUCAUCUUAAUCCAAUUUCCCUUUAGAGCCCUUGGCCAUGAGCUGAGGACAAAGGUUACUGUAACUUCUUGAGAUAUUGUUUCCUUGAUACUUUGCUCAUUUAUUUUUCUAUUUUAGAAUAUUGUGUGGCAAUUCUCAUGAUACAGCCAAACCUAACUCACCUAUUCUCAGUACCUGACCAAUGCAUUAAAGAAAGAUUCUCAAACAAGAUCUGUGUCUCUGGGAUUGAUACCUACGAAGACUCAAAAUUGAAGAACUAUAAGGACUGAGUAUUCUAGUGCCUGCUGUACUGGGUAAAUUAAAUCCAAAAGAACUGGGGGAAGAAAUGCUUCCAUGUUUUGCCUAUAUAAACCCAAUAUUUAGUUAGUUACCUGUUUCACAAGAACCUGUGACUAAGGUGAAGAGAAAUGAUCUCUUCCUUUAUACAAUUACCUAAUUUCUUACAGCUUUCUAAGUCAGUUUUCAGUUAAGCACCAUUUCCUACAUGAACUGUUAUUCCUACCAAAUGCAACUGUUUGUUACAUAGGGCUGAACUGGACGUAAUUUAAACAUUUUCAUGAAAAAACAAACCACUAAUUGGCUUAACACUACACCCUUAUCAGGAAGGAGAAGCAUUUACAGAAAAUACAGUUUGUGAAGAAUAAACGUAUUUUGGAACCUGAGCCAAAGGUUUCUCACCAAUACCUUAAUAAGUCACCGUGCAGGUUGUUUUCACAGGCAACAACACAGCCAGGUCAACUGUUGCUCCUGGCAACUUCCAUUGUCCCAAAAUAUGUGGAAGAUGGAGAAGCCAAUGACUGAAAUCCACAGUUAGGAAUACAGGCCAAAAGCUCAACAAACUGCUACUGGAAGCAACUGGAUACCAUAAU